GUUUUGUAAGUCAUUGGUUCCUAUAUUUCUUUCUGUAUCAUUCACCAGGUAUAUAAUGCUUAAUUGAGGAGCUUCCCCUUUACAGCCCCUUCUUAAAAGGCUUGUUUUGCGGCAAACAAAAGCCUGUAGGUGUUCAUGAAUAGCGUGAACCAGUCAUGAUUGAAUUUGGUAGCUCUCUCUGCAAGUAGUUUCAUGUUUUGCUGGUCACUGUUACCAACUGAGAGUUUCCACCGUGUGUUCCACCUCCAUGUUCAUUUUGGAAAUGCGGAAAGGGUCAUUCUGGUUCUUCCGGCUGUGAGAGGUGUAAACAAAAUGGCGUCAAUAUUUGUGAACAAAUAAUGAAGAGGAUGGAGAUGAACACACAGGUCAUGUAUGACUACUUGAAGGCGAGACAGAGAUAUCGCUUGACUGAAGACGUAUCAAACCUUGAGAUGGAAGCAGAAGCUCAGCAGCGUAGGGGUGAAAGAAAGUAGAUUUUUGUAUGGCAGUAAUUACCCGUUCCAGGAAAAGUAUUCAAAAAGAUUUAUUAGUGUGCCUUCACUAAUGCACCUGUAGGCCUAAUAACAAGGAUUGUUGGCUACAGAGAAAAUGAGUGAUUCAUGGUUUCCUAGAAUUUUAAUUUCUUUGUAUUGCUUCAAAAACACUUGACAUCAAGUACUAACGCAAGUUAGCCAAUACAUCAGCUUGGAACAGGAAGGCGCCAGUGAGGAGCAGAAGUUUUGGAAUAUCAUUUUUUUUUUUUUUACCAUAAACUGAGCCAGUUAGGAAGAUUAAAUGCUGUAGGAGGUUUUCUCUUUUUCUUUUUAGGUUUGGUAGUUUGUGCCCCCUACCAAGGAUAGAAAAACAAAGAAAUGAGGGAAAGAAUACAGGGAGCAAACGCAGUGGAACCAACGAGUUGCAUACACUAAACAUCUCAGCAGAAUUAGAGAAGGAUGGACAAAAACAAGGGGACCUGGAGGCCUGCUUGCACACACCACAUUCAGAUUACACACCAGUGUUUUACCAGUCUGGAGUUUAUUUAGCCACUAGCCCUCUCCAUUUCUUUAAGACAAAUUACACUAGAUGUCAAAGAUCCAAGGGUCGGAUCCUCUGAUCGGUCCGUUGCAAAGACAAAACCAACAAAUCUUUUUUUGGUUGCAAUUUAUUUAUUUUUUUAUAGUUUCUGUGUCUAUGUUCACUUUUAUACUCCUUUCUGUAGAUGUUGAGGUGUUUUUCUAAGCAAUGAUGUCUGAAAAUGCUGUUUAUUUUUUUAUUGUGAAUGUCUUAUUCCGACACCCAUUGUAUUGAAAUUUAAGCUCGUUACCUUUUGUAUUUAUUGUUGUAAUGAAAGUUUUACUAAUGUCUCUAGUGUGCAUAAAGUACAGCAGGAUAAAGUGCUUUUGUUUCCUUCCCUCA
Molecule: long non-coding RNA, 1395 nt
Organism: Poecilia latipinna (sailfin molly)
Lineage: Eukaryota; Metazoa; Chordata; Actinopteri; Cyprinodontiformes; Poeciliidae
Exons: 2
Source: RefSeq, a predicted model, not a curated record